Pseudophryne corroboree (corroboree frog) is the source of this 306-nucleotide long non-coding RNA. RefSeq lists it as uncharacterized. The transcript is spliced from 3 exons. NCBI's taxonomy places the organism in Eukaryota, Metazoa, Chordata, Amphibia, Anura, Myobatrachidae. The record is from RefSeq and is a predicted model, not a curated record.
UCUAUUCCUGGGUAUGGAUUAUGCAAGUGGCGGGGACCUCCAUCAGUUCCUGCAGAGGAAAGGCUGCUUGGACAUCACCAGCGCAACUUUCUACGCAGCAGAGAUCACGUGUGGUGUGCAGUACCUGCACUCUAAGGGCAUCAUCCAUCGGUAUCCAUGGUGACGGGAUGCACAUAGGGGAAGUGACGUAUCAUGACGUCAUUGUAGCUGCGCCGGACGGAGCGGACGCCGCCCCACACGCUACACGCGGCACGAGCACCUGGGUGAUUAGUCGUCUUUAUAGGUAAGAUGUUGUUUUGUGUAUGU